RNAcentral lists this ribosomal RNA (253 nucleotides) under uncultured bacterium. Its description in RNAcentral is "partial 16S ribosomal RNA". It matches the Rfam family "Bacterial small subunit ribosomal RNA", at positions 524 to 776 of the family's 1533-position model. The record is from RNAcentral.
UACAGAGGGUGCAAGCGUUAAUCGGAAUUACUGGGCGUAAAGCGCGCGUAGGUGGUUCGUUAAGUUGGAUGUGAAAUCCCCGGGCUCAACCUGGGAACUGCAUUCAAAACUGUCGAGCUAGAGUAUGGUAGAGGGUGGUGGAAUUUCCUGUGUAGCGGUGAAAUGCGUAGAUAUAGGAAGGAACACCAGUGGCGAAGGCGACUUCCUGGCCUGUUCUUGACGCUGAGGCGCGAAAGCUAGGGGAGCAAACGGG